This 45-nucleotide non-coding RNA is filed under the name Echinostoma caproni. The record is from RNAcentral. Lineage: Eukaryota; Metazoa; Platyhelminthes; Trematoda; Plagiorchiida; Echinostomatidae.
GCACUACUGAUGAGUUCCAAUAAGAACGAAACUCGAGUCUAGUGC